GAUGAAGAACGCAGCGAAAUGCGAUAAGUAGUGUGAAUUGCAGAAUUCAGUGAAUCAUCGAAUCUUUGAACGCACAUUGCGCCCCUUGGUAUCCCGAGGGGCAUGCCUGUUCGAGCGUCAUUUCACCACUCAAGCCUGGCUUGGUGUUGGGCGACGUCCCCUUUGGGGACGCGCCUCGAAACGCUCGGCGGCGUGGCACCGGCUUUAAGCGUAGCAGAAUCUUUCGCUUCGGAAGUCGGGGCCCCGUCUGCCGGAAGACCUACUCGCAAGGUUGACCUCGGAUCAGGCAGGGAUACCCGCUGAACUUAAGCAUAUCAAUAAGCGGAGGA
This 329-nucleotide unclassified non-coding RNA is filed under the name soil metagenome. RNAcentral describes it as "partial contains 5.8S ribosomal RNA, internal transcribed spacer 2, and large subunit ribosomal RNA". The stretch from base 1 to 120 matches the Rfam family "5.8S ribosomal RNA", at positions 35 to 154 of the family's 154-position model. The record is from RNAcentral.